CCCUUAGAUGUUCUGGGCCGCACGCGCGCUACACUGAUGCAUUCAACGAGUUUCUUCCUGGUCCGAGAGGAAUGGGUAACCUUUUGAAAGUGCAUCGUGAUAGGGAUAGACUAUUGCAAUUAUUGGUCUUCAACGAGGAAUUCCUAGUAGACGUAGUUCAUCAGACUGCAUCGAUUACGUCCCUGCCCUUUGUACACACCGCCCGUCGCUCCUACCGAUUGAAUGCUCAGGUGAGCCAUUCGGACCUUCAUCAUGCCGGUUUCCGGUUUUGAUGAGGGAAAGUCUUGCGAACCUUAUCAUUUAGAGGAAGGAGAAGUCGUGACA
This 324-nucleotide ribosomal RNA is filed under the name uncultured eukaryote. Its description in RNAcentral is "partial 18S ribosomal RNA". It matches the Rfam family "Eukaryotic small subunit ribosomal RNA", at positions 1470 to 1796 of the family's 1831-position model. The record is from RNAcentral.